UGGGGAAUAGUUUAGCGGUAGAACUCCUGGCUCUGGACCGGGCAACAUUGGUUCGAAUCCAGUUUCCCCAGCCA
This 74-nucleotide transfer RNA is filed under the name Holosporaceae bacterium. Its description in RNAcentral is "tRNA-Gln". It matches the Rfam family "tRNA". From Rfam's summary of the family: Transfer RNA (tRNA) molecules are approximately 80 nucleotides in length. Their secondary structure includes four short double-helical elements and three loops (D, anti-codon, and T loops). Lineage: Bacteria; Pseudomonadati; Pseudomonadota; Alphaproteobacteria; Holosporales; Holosporaceae. The record is from RNAcentral.